GGUUUACCUGUGUGACUGCGUACCUUUUGUAUAAUGGGUCAGCGACUUAUAUUCUGUAGCAAGGUUAACCGUAUAGGGGAGCCGUAGGGAAACCGAGUCUUAACCGGGCGUUAAGUUGCAGGGUAUAGACCCGAAACCCGGUGAUCUAGCCAUGGGCAGGUUGAAGGUUGGGUAACACUAACUGGAGGACCGAACCGACUAAUGUUGAAAAAUUAGCGGAUGACCUGUGGCUGGGGGUGAAAGGCCAAUCAAACCGGGAGAUAGCUGGUUCUCCCCGAAAGCU
Molecule: ribosomal RNA, 283 nt
Filed under: Salmonella enterica subsp. enterica
Lineage: Bacteria; Pseudomonadati; Pseudomonadota; Gammaproteobacteria; Enterobacterales; Enterobacteriaceae
Description: partial 23S ribosomal RNA
Rfam family: Bacterial large subunit ribosomal RNA
Source: RNAcentral